RNAcentral lists this ribosomal RNA (253 nucleotides) under uncultured bacterium. RNAcentral describes it as "partial 16S ribosomal RNA". It matches the Rfam family "Bacterial small subunit ribosomal RNA", at positions 524 to 776 of the family's 1533-position model. The record is from RNAcentral.
UACGAAGGGUGCAAACGUUGCUCGGAAUCAUUGGGCGUAAAGAGCGCGUAAGCGGUCCGGUAAGUCCGCUCUGAAAGUCCGGGGCUCAACCCCGGGAGGCGGGCGGAUACUGUCGGGCUAGAGUCCGGAAGAGGCGAGUGGAAUUCCUGGUGUAGCGGUGAAAUGCGCAGAUAUCAGGAAGAACACCUAUGGCGAAGGCAGCUCUCUGGGACGGUACUGACGCUGAGACGCGAAAGCGUGGGGAGCGAACAGG